This is a long non-coding RNA of Alligator mississippiensis (American alligator), 313 nucleotides long. RefSeq lists it as uncharacterized. The record is from RefSeq and is a predicted model, not a curated record. The transcript is spliced from 2 exons. NCBI's taxonomy places the organism in Eukaryota, Metazoa, Chordata, Crocodylia, Alligatoridae.
AUCAAUUGAUGCAUCUCAAGCAAAACCAAGGAGGUGAUUCUUCUGCUUUAUUCAGCAUUGGUGAGACUGCAGCUGGAGUACUGCAUCAAGUUCUGGACACCACACUUCAACAAGGAUAUGGGAAAGCUUGAGAGAAUCCAGAGAAGAGCCACCCAUAUGAUCAGAGACUUGCAAGAUUGUCACGUUAGAAGAAGGAAAGGUGGUAUCUCAGACAGGAAAGUCCUAUAACUUGAAGGGCUUUAAAAAUCAACAUGGAGACACUGAAAAGAGCAAAAUAACUUGUGUUACUAGGUAAAUGGGAGGAUACAUUUCC